AACGAACGCUGGCGGCGCGUCUUAAGCAUGCAAGUCGGACGGCAAGGGUAGCAAUACCCCUAGAGUGGCGGACUGGUGAGUAACGCGUGGGUGACCUGCCCUUGAGUUGGGGAUAGCCAUUAGAAAUAGUGGAUAAUACCGAAUACGAUCGCUGUCACUGUGGUGAUGCGAUGAAAGGAGCUACGGCUCCACUCGAGGAUGGGCCCGCGUCCCAUUAGCUAGUUGGUGAGGUAACGGCCCACCAAGGCGACGAUGGGUAUCCGGCCUGAGAGGGUGUACGGACACAUUGGGACUGAGAUACGGCCCAAACUCCUACGGGAGGCAGCAGCUAAGAAUAUUCCGCAAUGGACGAAAGUCUGACGGAGCGACGCCGCGUGGAUGAAGAAGGCCGAAAGGUUGUAAAAUCCUUUUGCUGAUGAAGAAUAAGUGGAGUAGGGAAUGAUUCCAUGAUGACAUUAGUCGGUGAAUAAGCCCCGGCUAACUACGUGCCAGCAGCCGCGGUAACACGUAGGGGGCAAGCGUUGUUCGGAAUUAUUGGGCGUAAAGGGCAUGUAGGCGGUUUUGUAAGCCUGGUGUGAAAUCCUGCAGCUUAACUGUAGAAUUGCAUUGGGUACUGCAAGACUUGAAUCACAGAGGGGAAACUAGAAUUCCAUGUGUAGGGGUGGAAUCUGUAGAUAUCUGGAAGAAUACCGGUGGCGAAGGCGGGUUUCUAGCUGAUGAUUGACGCUGAGGUGCGAAAGUGCGGGGAGCAAACAGGAUUAGAUACCCUGGUAGUCCGCACCGUAAACGAUGUACACUAGGUGUCGGGGCAUGAGUCUCGGUGCCAAAGCUAACGUGUUAAGUGUACCGCCUGGGAAGUAUGCUCGCAAGGGUG
Molecule: ribosomal RNA, 874 nt
Filed under: uncultured bacterium
Lineage: Bacteria
Description: bacterial SSU rRNA
Rfam family: Bacterial small subunit ribosomal RNA
Source: RNAcentral